This is a long non-coding RNA of Grammomys surdaster, 172 nucleotides long. RefSeq lists it as uncharacterized. The record is from RefSeq and is a predicted model, not a curated record. Lineage: Eukaryota; Metazoa; Chordata; Mammalia; Rodentia; Muridae. The transcript has 3 exons.
AGAGGGAGAACACAGCAGACAGGAGACAUUCAAUCCAUGGCAGCCAGAGAGCAAGGCCUAGCCUGGGAACUCCCUGGCACGAGUGGCUGGAGAGAAGUUUCUGAUCCUGAUUUCUCUCAGGGAGCUUGGAAGCUUCAAGUACUGCCCCAGGAAAAGCCUUACCAUAUUGCCC